Long non-coding RNA from Patiria miniata (bat star), 939 nucleotides. RefSeq lists it as uncharacterized. The transcript is spliced from 3 exons. NCBI's taxonomy places the organism in Eukaryota, Metazoa, Echinodermata, Asteroidea, Valvatida, Asterinidae. The record is from RefSeq and is a predicted model, not a curated record.
ACACUCUCUAUGUAAUAAGAGACUUGGCGACCAGUUGGCCGAGUAAUGUAUUUAGAAUAUAGUCCUAAACUUGUACCAAAGGUUGUCGGGUAAGAGCCACCAAUUGGAUUCCUUUUAAAGUCUGCAUGUAGGGCAGGGAAGACGGGGAUUUCCCUUUUUCUACUACGGUUGCACCCGGACCCAUCACUUUGGAAAGGGCCACUAAUUAGAUUACAUCCACCGUCUGUAUACAGAAAGUCAGGCGGCCUUAGUUAUCUUAAUUGGCCAAAUUCUAAAUUUCCCCUUUUCUGUGCAUUUUGUACAGUGGUCGGGUAAGGGCCACUACAGGAGACUUCACCUAUAGUUAGACAUAAUAUAGUUAGGCAUAUGGUUGUAUCUUUCAUUACAAUGUAUAGUGGUCAGGUAAGGACCACAAAUCCCCUCGUUUCACCACAAUAGGGCCUACCUGUCACUGAUUUGACAAAGAAAUCGCUGUUCAUAGUCUUAAUUGACCUAGCUCCGCUAGGGACACUUGUCUCCUUUUUCGUAAGUCCAUUCUCAGUCCCUUGCAGUUAGAUUAUGAGGACAAGCCAGCCCGAGUGUUCCUGUCAGAUGUGGAGGAACCGGAAGCAGGGAGGAGGAACAACUGAUGACCGAUGACCCUUGCAUGCUGAGCUUUCCAUUACAGCUUUCUUGGAGAUGAGGGUCUACAACUUGUGCUGUCAUUUUGGAUGAAAUUUUCAAUCGAUUCCGAAUCCCAAGGAACCGGAAGCAGGGAGGAGGACCGACGGAAGGACUGAUGACCUGCUUGCAGAGCAAGUCUUCACCAAUUCUCGAGAUCCCUCUUGCUUCGUGUAGGCAGCAGAAACGGUGACAACACGUACGGAGUGCAGUUGUUCACUAGGACUGGAAUCAACACGAAUUUUAGCAACACUCCACUAUAAGUUUUACAACCCAUGC